Molecule: ribosomal RNA, 322 nt
Filed under: uncultured CFB-group bacterium 204ev
Lineage: Bacteria; Pseudomonadati; Bacteroidota
Description: bacterial SSU rRNA
Rfam family: Bacterial small subunit ribosomal RNA
Source: RNAcentral
GAGUUUGAUCCUGGCUCAGGAUGAACGCUAGCGGCAGGCUUAACACAUGCAAGUCGAGGGGUAUAGAGAGCUUGCUUUCUAGAGACCGGCGCACGGGUGCGUAACGCGUAUGCAAUCUACCUUUCACAGAGGGAUAGCCCAGAGAAAUUUGGAUUAAUACCUCAUAGUAUAGUUUUACCGCAUGGUAGUAUUAUUAAAGUCACAACGGUGAAAGAUGAGCAUGCGUCCCAUUAGUUAGUUGGUAAGGUAACGGCUUACCAAGACAGCGAUGGGUAGGGGUCCUGAGAGGGAGAUCCCCCACACUGGUACUGAGACACGGACC